Molecule: long non-coding RNA, 324 nt
Filed under: Brassica napus (rape)
Lineage: Eukaryota; Viridiplantae; Streptophyta; Magnoliopsida; Brassicales; Brassicaceae
Description: long non-coding RNA (BNAP_LNC005895)
Source: RNAcentral
CCCGAUUCUGGAUAGGAUCGUCCGGACGGACUGCGGUGCGUGGAGGUGCACCAGUAUGGUCAUAUGGCCCAAAGACAAGCGUGUCAUAGCCUGGAAGUAAGGUUAAGGGCAUCAGAAAACUAAGGGAUAGCUAAACCAAGAAGGAGACAAGUAUAAAGAAGCUGUACUGAGAGUAUGGCAGCUGGGCGGUGCGGUAAGCAAGCUCAACCAGCUAGGUGAAGAGUAGUGCAGCUCAGUAUAGCUCACUGAAGAGUAUGUCAGCUCCCUGAGCUAGAUGGACUAGCUCACUCAGCUGGGUCAGCUGGGGAUCAGCUCAACUCAGCU